RNAcentral lists this ribosomal RNA (516 nucleotides) under uncultured bacterium. RNAcentral's name for it is "bacterial SSU rRNA". It matches the Rfam family "Bacterial small subunit ribosomal RNA", at positions 8 to 521 of the family's 1533-position model. The record is from RNAcentral.
AGAGUUUGAUCCUGGCUCAGAUUGAACGCUGGCGGUAUGCUUUACACAUGCAAGUCGAACGGCAGCACGGGGCAACCUGGUGGCGAGUGGCGAACGGGUGAGUAACAUAUCGGAACAUAUCCGGAAGUGGGGGAUAACGUAGCGAAAGUUACGCUAAUACCGCAUAUGCCCUGAGGGGGAAAGGGGGGGAUCGCAAGACCUCUCGCUUUCGGAGUGGCCGAUAUCGGAUUAGCUAGAUGGUGAGGUAAAGGCUCACCAUGGCGACGAUCCGUAGCGGGUCUGAGAGGACGACCCGCCACACUGGAACUGAGACACGGUCCAGACUCCUACGGGAGGCAGCAGUGGGGAAUUUUGGACAAUGGGCGCAAGCCUGAUCCAGCCAUACCGCGUGAGUGAAGAAGGCCUUCGGGUUGUAAAGCUCUUUCAGCCGGAAAGAAAUCGCACUUUUUAAUACGGAGUGUGGAUGACGGUACCGGAAUAAGAAUCACCGGCUAACUACGUGCCAGCCGCCGCGGU